AUCAUGGCUCAGAAUGAACGCUGGCGGCGUGCUUAACACAUGCAAGUCGUACGAGAACGCAUUGGCUUGCCAAUGCAAGUAAAGUGGCGCACGGGUGAGUAACGCGUGGGUAAUCUACCUUCGAAUCCGGGAUAACAUUGCGAAAGCGAUGCUAAUCCCGGAUAAAAUCGGGAAGACUUUGGUUUUUUUGAUCAAAGGAAGCCUCUUCAUGAAAGCUUUUGUUUGGAGAUGAGCCCGCGUACCAUUAGCUUGUUGGUGGGGUAAAGGCCUACCAAGGCGACGAUGGUUAGCUGGUCUGAGAGGAUGAUCAGCCACACUGGAACUGACACACGGUCCANACUCCUACGGGAGGCAGCAGUCANGAAUUUUGCGCAAUGGGGGAAACCCUGACGCAGCAACGCCGCGUGAGUGAUGAAGGCUUUCGGGUCGUAAAGCUCUGUCAAGU
Molecule: ribosomal RNA, 445 nt
Filed under: uncultured Desulfobacteraceae bacterium
Lineage: Bacteria; Pseudomonadati; Thermodesulfobacteriota; Desulfobacteria; Desulfobacterales; Desulfobacteraceae
Description: bacterial SSU rRNA
Rfam family: Bacterial small subunit ribosomal RNA
Source: RNAcentral